AAUAGCCUAACGGCUGAACCAGCAAUUUCGGGGAAUGUAUAGUCUAAUCUAAUUGUCAUUUAAUUUAUUAAAUGCAAUAUCGACUACGUUGAAUAAAGUUCUAGGUAGAAUAAUGAUAAUGACAAUUUUCUAUCUAUAUGUCUUGACCAAAUCACGUGCCAGCAGUCGCGGUAAUACGUGGAAGACUAGUGUUAUUCAUCUUUAUUAGGUAUAUAGGGUACCUAGACGGUAUAUUUAGCCCAAAAAGGGUACGUGUAUACUAGAGUUUUAUAUGAGGGGGGGAGAACUUUUGGAGUAGAGAUGAAAUUCUGUGAUAACAAGAGGACUGGUAUAGGCGAAGGCAACCCUCUAUGUAAAAACUGACGUUGAGGGACGAAGGCUUGGGUAGCAAUUAGGAUUAGAUACCCUAGUAGUCCAGGCAGAAAAUUAUGAAUGUCAUAGACUUGGCCAUGGCCAAGUCUAUAAAUGAAAGUGUAAGCAUUCCACCUCAAGAGUAAUGUGGCAACACAGGAACUGAAAUCAUUAGACCGUUUCUGAAACCAGUAGUGAAGUAUGUUAUUUAAUUCGAUGAUCCGCGAAAAACCUUACCACAACUUGAAUACUUUACAAGCGCUGCACGGCUGUCUUCAGUUAAUGUCGUGAGAUUAUGGUUAGUUCCAUUAAUUAACGUAAACCCUUGCUUUAUUUAUUUUAAUAAAGUAGUUCUCCUACACCUUGGGUAAGAUAAAAGGGACUAAGACAAGUCAUCAUGGCCUUAAUAUUGUGGGCUAUAGACGUGCCACAUAAGCCUUUACAAAGGGAUGCAAUAUUGUGAAAUGGAGCUAAUCCCUAAAAUAGGAUAUAAAAU
This 847-nucleotide ribosomal RNA is filed under the name Stenocybe pullatula. RNAcentral describes it as "SSU rRNA". It matches the Rfam family "Bacterial small subunit ribosomal RNA", at positions 370 to 1294 of the family's 1533-position model. Lineage: Eukaryota; Fungi; Ascomycota; Eurotiomycetes; Mycocaliciales; Mycocaliciaceae. The record is from RNAcentral.